This is a non-coding RNA of Paramuricea clavata, 261 nucleotides long. NCBI's taxonomy places the organism in Eukaryota, Metazoa, Cnidaria, Anthozoa, Malacalcyonacea, Plexauridae. The record is from the annotation of a GenBank genome assembly.
CUUCCCCUUAUAACCAAAAUUUCGAUCUAGGCAAGUCUAGACAAAUAUUUCAUCACAGCUUGAAAGAGCAUCACAAAAUUAGUAAUAUUCCAAAGUUUCGUUGCAAAAUGUUGUAAAAUGAGGAAAAUAGAGCCUUGCAAAGUUUGCAAUUUUCAGUCAUUUUGCAUUACAAACGGGAAAUUGCAGCCCCAACACCCGAAUCGGAUGUCAAUUUCCCAUUGGUAAUACAAAAUGACUGAAAAACGGCAAACUUCACAAGGC